CCCAACCGAAAAUUAUAAAUAUGAGUGUAUUUUUUCUUAUUUAUUAACAUUUUCAAAUAUAAUUCACAUAUCAAUAUCUCUUAUGUUUAUGUUGUUUUCCACUCAUCUUCAUUACCCGGAUGUGUUGUAUCCACACACCUUCGUUAGUAAGUUCUUCUUUUCGGUAUAAAUACAACAUUAUAACAAAGGAUCAAAAUACAUAACCAUCCACAGAAGGAAUAAGGUCGACUCGGGCCUCCUAGAUUUACUGAUGUGAAAACAUUAUUUUAACCUCUACAAUUUUUUUGUUACACCUAGCAAAAAUAACCACAUACUAUUAAUUGUAAAAAAUAUUUUUUGAAAUAUAUAUUUCUAAUGGUCAUAGAAAAUUAGUCCAUCGAAUUGAAUACAAAUGCAGCAAAAAUUAUGUGAGUGUUUUGAUUUUGAUAGAACAAGUCUUAAAAAAUAUCAUCUAAUUGGAACCCAUUGAUUGAGAAAAGGUGAUACAAUCGUGUUUCCUUCCUUUUUAAGCUUAGAAAAUAGAGUUCUUACACAUAUUAUUUUUGGUACAUAGAUAAACAAUCAUGUGGGCCAUGUUAGUUCGAGUACAUUCAUUUUAAUUAAACAUGACUAUGUAAUUAUUGGAUAUGUGGAUUGUGUGCUUCUUCUUAGUUGAUA
RNAcentral lists this long non-coding RNA (657 nucleotides) under Hordeum vulgare. RNAcentral's name for it is "long non-coding RNA (HVUL_LNC006204)". Lineage: Eukaryota; Viridiplantae; Streptophyta; Magnoliopsida; Poales; Poaceae. The record is from RNAcentral.